Spirochaetaceae bacterium 4572_59 is the source of this 74-nucleotide non-coding RNA. Lineage: Bacteria; Pseudomonadati; Spirochaetota; Spirochaetia; Spirochaetales; Spirochaetaceae. The record is from Rfam.
GCGUCCAUAGCUCAGCUGGAUAGAGCAUCGCCCUUCUAAGGCGAGGGUCAAAGGUUCGAAUCCUUUUGGACGUA